Molecule: long non-coding RNA, 582 nt
Organism: Sorghum bicolor (sorghum)
Lineage: Eukaryota; Viridiplantae; Streptophyta; Magnoliopsida; Poales; Poaceae
Exons: 2
Source: RefSeq, a predicted model, not a curated record
AGCCGGCAAGGCGGCAAGUGUCUCUCUGUGGCAAACGCCAAGCAGCACAGCAGUGGUGGAGCUGGAGCAGCAUGAGGCUGUUCGGGAAGCACGUGUUCCCGAGGCAGAUCGUCCUGUUCGCCGCAGGGCUGGUGUUCUUCGGGGCGACGACGUACGACGUGCACCGGUCCAUCAAGAACAACGAGCAGCCGCCGACCAGGGAGCAGAUGGAGGCGCUCCAGGACUACAUCAACUCCAAGAAGCAGUGAGGCCGGUAAAGAAAAAGAUCCGUGCUUGAUGGUUGAUGCGGAGCUCAUAUAUAUUGCUAUAGGUGUGUAUGCUUAGAAAGGGGCUGAAAACAAGUGGGUGCGUGCUAUGUGUUCGACGAUAUUUCUACGAGGACUUCCUUCCUAUGGGUGUGUAUGCUUAGAAAGGGGCUCAAAACAAGUGGGUGCGUGCUCUGUGUUCGACGAUAUUUCCAUGAGGACUUCUGGAUCGUGUAUAAUAAUAAUAAUAAAUCAGUAAAUGGCUGUGUAAUUGUAUAAUUGUAAAUCAGUAAAUAUAAAUCAGUAAAUGGCUAUGUAAUUAGGCAUGUUUCUAGGA